AUUGAACGCUGGCGGCAGGCUUAACACAUGCAAGUCGAGCGGGGUGAUGGUGCUUGCACUAUCACUUAGCGGCGGACGGGUGAGUAAUGCUUAGGAAUCUGCCUAUUAGUGGGGGACAACAUCUCGAAAGGGAUGCUAAUACCGCAUACGUCCUACGGGAGAAAGCAGGGGAUCACUUGUGACCUUGCGCUAAUAGAUGAGCCUAAAUCGGAUUAGCUAGUAGGUGGGGUAAAGGCCUACCAAGGCGACGAUCUGUAGCGGGUCUGAGAGGAUGAUCCGCCACACUGGGACUGAGACACGGCCCAGACUCCUACGGGAGGCAGCAGUGGGGAAUAUUGGACAAUGGGGGGAACCCUGAUCCAGCCAUGCCGCGUGUGUGAAGAAGGCCUUAUGGUUGUAAAGCACUUUAAGCGAGGAGGAGGCUCUUUUGGUUAAUACCCAAGAUGAGUGGACGUUACUCGCAGAAUAAGCACCGGCUAACUCUGUGCCAGCCGCCGCAGUAA
This 503-nucleotide ribosomal RNA is filed under the name uncultured bacterium. Its description in RNAcentral is "partial 16S ribosomal RNA". It matches the Rfam family "Bacterial small subunit ribosomal RNA", at positions 30 to 523 of the family's 1533-position model. The record is from RNAcentral.